CACAUUGUUUUCUCAUUUCGCUCCGAAGCUGAGCGGCUGAAGAAGAAGUGGGAGGAGGAAGAGGAGGAGAGACUGAAGCAGAUCCCAGUGCACGUUGAACCGAAAAAGUGUCCUCCUCUGGGCCUGGAGUCUCACCGGGUUGAAGAUGACCAGCUGCUGGCUUCCUCUCAGUCUCACCAUGGCUUCACGGUUCAGAGAGGACGCCUCAACAUGCAGGGCUCCGACGAUGACAAUGACCUGAACGGCGGCGGUUGGUGCGCAGAUCCAGAGGACAAAACCCACUGGUUCGAGGUUGAUGCCCGCAGAGAGGUGGAGUUCACCGGGGUCAUCACUCAGGGAAGAAACUCGGAGAAAGAGUGAGUUGGGUGAUAAUUGCCUGCGGAUCCAUGACCUCGAGUGACUUCGUUAACAUUACACAGUUAUUGGAUCUAAUGUUGAUAUAGAGAUUCUGAUUACUGCAGCUUGUCUUUCCAACUGUGUAAUGAAGUUAAGUAUUUGGGUCAUGUCAUAAAUGAUUGUCCUAUGACGAGGAUAUCU
Molecule: long non-coding RNA, 537 nt
Organism: Monopterus albus (swamp eel)
Lineage: Eukaryota; Metazoa; Chordata; Actinopteri; Synbranchiformes; Synbranchidae
Exons: 3
Source: RefSeq, a predicted model, not a curated record